GGAUUGUGGCUCAAUGGUAGAGUGCUCGCCUAGCAUGCGUGAGGCCCUGAGUUCUAUCCUUAGCACCA
This 68-nucleotide transfer RNA is filed under the name Marmota monax (woodchuck). Its description in RNAcentral is "tRNA.Ala". The stretch from base 5 to 65 matches the Rfam family "tRNA", at positions 6 to 65 of the family's 71-position model. Rfam says of the family: Transfer RNA (tRNA) molecules are approximately 80 nucleotides in length. Lineage: Eukaryota; Metazoa; Chordata; Mammalia; Rodentia; Sciuridae. The record is from RNAcentral.